GACGAACCGUGCGAACGUUAUUCGGAAUCACUGGGCCUAAAGCGCGUGUAGGCGGAUCGGUGCGUCGGCGCCUGAAAUCCCCCGGCUCAACCGGGGAACGCGGCCCGAAACGACCGGUCUCGAGGGACGUAGGGGGAACUGGAACUUCCGGUGGAGCGGUGAAAUGCGUUGAGAUCGGAAGGAACGCCCGUGGCGAAAGCGAGUUCCUGGACGUCUGCUGACGCUGAGACGCGAAAGCUAGGGGAGCGAACGGG
RNAcentral lists this ribosomal RNA (254 nucleotides) under uncultured bacterium. Its description in RNAcentral is "partial 16S ribosomal RNA". It matches the Rfam family "Bacterial small subunit ribosomal RNA", at positions 524 to 776 of the family's 1533-position model. The record is from RNAcentral.